CCUACGGGAGGCUGCAGUGGGGAAUAUUGGACAAUGGGGGCAACCCUGAUCCAGCCAUGCCGCGUGUGUGAAGAAGGCCCUCGGGUUGUAGAGCACUUUCAGUGAGGAAGAACGCCUGGUGGUUAAUACCCAUCAGGAAAGACAUCACUCACAGAAGAAGCACCGGCUAACUCCGUGCCAGCAGCCGCGGUAAUACGGAGGGUGCGAGCGUUAAUCGGAAUUACUGGGCGUAAAGCGCGCGUAGGUGGCUUGAUAAGCCGGUUGUGAAAGCCCCGGGCUCAACCUGGGAACGGCAUCCGGAACUGUCAAGCUAGAGUGCAGGAGAGGAAGGUAGAAUUCCCGGUGUAGCGGUGAAAUGCGUAGAGAUCGGGAGGAAUACCAGUGGCGAAGGCGGCCUUCUGGACUGACACUGACACUGAGGUGCGAAAGCGUGGGUAGCAAACAGGAUUAGAUACCCCUGUAGUC
This 465-nucleotide ribosomal RNA is filed under the name Vreelandella stevensii. Its description in RNAcentral is "partial 16S ribosomal RNA". It matches the Rfam family "Bacterial small subunit ribosomal RNA", at positions 338 to 795 of the family's 1533-position model. Lineage: Bacteria; Pseudomonadati; Pseudomonadota; Gammaproteobacteria; Oceanospirillales; Halomonadaceae. The record is from RNAcentral.